RNAcentral lists this long non-coding RNA (918 nucleotides) under Glycine max (soybean). RNAcentral describes it as "long non-coding RNA (GMAX_LNC002843)". The record is from RNAcentral. Lineage: Eukaryota; Viridiplantae; Streptophyta; Magnoliopsida; Fabales; Fabaceae.
AGGAGCCGGAAUAUGGAUCUGGGUAUGGUAGAAGGAAGGAAGAAGGUGAAUACGGGUCAGGAUAUGGUGGAAGAAAGGAGGAACCGGAAUAUGGAUCCGGGUAUGGUAGGAAAGAAGAGGGUGAAUACGGGUCAGGAUAUGGGUCCGGGUAUGGUGGGAGAAAGGAGGAGUCUGAAUAUGGAUCUGGGUAUGGUGGAAGAAAGGAAGAACCUGAAUAUGGAUCUGGGUAUGGUGGGAGAAAGGAGGAAUCUGAAUAUGGAUCCGGGUAUGGUGGGAGAAAGCAAGAAUCUGAAUAUGGAUCCGGGUAUGGUGGCAGGAAGGAGGAACCAGAAUAUGGAUCCGGAUAUGGUGGAAGGAAGGAGGAAUCUGAAUAUGGAUCAGGAUAUGGAGGAAGGAAGCAAGAAUCAGAAUAUGGAUCCGGGUAUGGUGGAAGAAAGGAGGAGAGUGAAUAUGGAUCCGGGUAUGGAGGGAGGAGUGAGUAUGAGGAGAAACCUAGCUAUGGGAGGAGCAACUAUGAGAGCCAAGGAGGAGGAGGAAGGGUUGAGUAUGGUUAUGAGGGGCGUCCACCCCGGCAGGAGGAGGAGGAGGGGUUCCGCAAGCCCUCCUAUGAGAGGAAGGCUGAUGAUGAUGAUGAUGAGGGCUAUGGUCGUAAGAAAUAUGUGAGUACUAGUACUACUCUUUCCAUUCCUUACUCAUGAGUGAAUGGCCUAUGAUCGAUAGUGUACAGAGAUUUUACUUUGUUAUUUGAUCACAAACUGUCAUAUACAAUAAGUUUAUUGAUUACUACCUUAGGAGUCUUUUUCUUUUCUUCUUUUUUAUUGACAAAUGUUAAUUGUUAGUUUUAUCCGCAGAGGAGGUCAAACUCGCGACCUUUCCCCUCUUCCCUUCUCCCUUAACCACCUAACCCACUUUAUAUCU